AAUCAACGCUGGCGGCGUGCCUCAGACAUGCAAGUCGAACGAUUAAACUUUCCUUCGGGAAAGAUAUAAAGUGGCGCACGGGUGAGUAACACGUAGGUAAUGUGCCUUUGGGUGGGGAAUAACUUAGGGAAACUUAAGCUAAUACCGCAUAAUGCAGCGGCUCCUUCGGGAGACAGUUGUUAAAGAUUUAUCGCCUAAAGAGCAGCCUGCGGCAGAUUAGCUAGUUGGUAAGGUAACGGCUUACCAAGGCUACGAUCUGUAUCCGACCUGAGAGGGUGGUCGGACACACUGACACUGAAUAACGGGUCAGACUCCUACGGGAGGCAGCAGUCGGGAAUUUUGGGCAAUGGGCGAAAGCCUGACCCAGCAACGCCGCGUGAAGGAUGAAGUCUUUCGGGAUGUAAACUUCGUAAGAAUAGGAAGAAUAAAUGACGGUACUAUUUGUAGGGUCCGGCUAACUACGUGCCAGCAGCCGC
Molecule: ribosomal RNA, 476 nt
Filed under: uncultured bacterium
Lineage: Bacteria
Description: bacterial SSU rRNA
Rfam family: Bacterial small subunit ribosomal RNA
Source: RNAcentral